RNAcentral lists this ribosomal RNA (1328 nucleotides) under metagenome. Its description in RNAcentral is "bacterial SSU rRNA". It matches the Rfam family "Bacterial small subunit ribosomal RNA", at positions 190 to 1498 of the family's 1533-position model. The record is from RNAcentral.
UUCUGUGAGCAGGAAAGCAGGGGACCGCAAGGCCUUGCGCUCUUUGAGCGGCCGAUGUCAGAUUAGCUAGUUGGUGAGGUAAACGCUUACCAAGGUGACGAUCUGUAGCGGGUCUGAGAGGAUGAUCCGCCACACUGGAACUGAGACACGGUCCAGACUCCUACGGGAGGCAGCAGUGGGGAAUUUUGGACAAUGGGGGCAACCCUGAUCCAGCCAUGCCGCGUGAGUGAAGAAGGCCUUCGGGUUGUAAAGCUCUUUCGGCCGGGAAGAAAUCGCAUGGGCCAAUACCCUGUGUGGAUGACGGUACCGGAAUAAGAAGCACCGACUAACUACGUGCCAGCAGCCGCGGCAAUACGUAGGGUGCGAGCGUUAAUCGGAAUUACUGGGCGUAAAGCGUGCGCAGGCGGUUUUGUAAGACAGGCGUGAAAUCCCCGGGCUUAACCUGGGAACUGCGUUUGUGACUGCAAGGCUAGAGUACGGCAGAGGGGGGUGGAAUUCCACGUGUAGCAGUGAAAUGCGUAGAGAUGUGGAGGAACACCAAUGGCGAAGGCAGCCCCCUGGGUCGAUACUGACGCUCAUGCACGAAAGCGUGGGUAGCAAACAGGAUUAGAUACCCUGGUAGUCCACGCCCUAAACUAUGUCAACUAGGUGUUGGGUGGGUAAAACCAUUUAGUACCGUAGUUAACGCGUGAAGUUGACCGCCUGGGGAGUACGGCCGCAAGGUUAAAACUCAAAGGAAUUGACGGGGACCCGCACAAGCGGUGGAUGAUGUGGAUUAAUUCGAUGCAACGCGAAAAACCUUACCUACCCUUGACAUGCCAGGAACUUGCCAGAGAUGGCUUGGUGCCCGAAAGGGAGCCUGGACACAGGUGCUGCAUGGCUGUCGUCAGCUCGUGUCGUGAGAUGUUGGGUUAAGUCCCGCAACGAGCGCAACCCUUGUCGUUAAUUGCCAUCAUUUAGUUGGGCACUUUAACGAGACUGCCGGUGACAAACCGGAGGAAGGUGGGGAUGACGUCAAGUCCUCAUGGCCCUUAUGGGUAGGGCUUCACACGUCAUACAAUGGUCGGUACAAAGGGUUGCCAAGCCGCGAGGCGGAGCCAAUCCCAGAAAGCCGAUCGUAGUCCGGAUUGCAGGCUGCAACUCGCCUGCAUGAAGUCGGAAUCGCUAGUAAUCGUGGAUCAGCAUGUCACGGUGAAUACGUUCCCGGGUCUUGUACACACCGCCCGUCACACCAUGGGAGCGGGUUCCGCCAGAAGUAGGUAGCCUAACCGCAAGGGGGGCGCUUACCACGGCGGGGUUCGUGACUGGGGUGAAGUCGUAACAAGGUA